AAAAUUAAAGGUCUAAUCUGCCCAAUGAUAUUUGAAUGGCCGCGGUAACUUGACCGUGCAAAGGUAGCAUAAUAAUUAGUCUUUUAAUUGAAGGCUUGAAUGAAAGAUUGGAUGAAAAAUAAACUUUAUUAAUAUAAAUUAUUUAAUUUAUUAUUUAAGUAAAAAUUCUUAAAUAUAUAAGUGGGACGAGAAGACCCUAUAGAGUUUUAUUUUUAUUUUUAUUAUCAAAUUAGAGAAUUAAUAUUUCUAUAAUAUAAAUGAAUUUUUUAUUGGGGUGAUAUUAAAAAUUUAUGAACUUUUAAUAAAUAUUUCAUUAAUAUAUGUACUUUUGAUCCAAAAAAAUUUUGAUUAUAAGAUUUAAUUACCUUAGGGAUAACAGCGUUAUUAAUUUGAAGAGUUCAAAUCGAUAAAUUAGUUUGCGACCUCGAUGUUGGAUUAAGAAUAAAUUUUGAAGUAGUAUUUAAAAUUAUAGGUCUGUUCGACCUUUAAAUUCUUACG
This 498-nucleotide ribosomal RNA is filed under the name Platypleura cf. brunea MHV-2009. RNAcentral's name for it is "partial 16S ribosomal RNA". The stretch from base 372 to 498 matches the Rfam family "Archaeal large subunit ribosomal RNA", at positions 2542 to 2669 of the family's 2987-position model. The record is from RNAcentral. Lineage: Eukaryota; Metazoa; Arthropoda; Insecta; Hemiptera; Cicadidae.